UCCAUAUCUUUAUUUUAUUUCUAUUUUAUUUUUAUUUUACAGAUGUAGAAAUGGAGGCCCAAAGAAAUUAACUAAGUUGUUGGUUAUAUAAUUAUUUAAUGGGACUCUAGAUCUUGAUGUCAGGUCUUCUGAUUGUUAAAGUCACUUUAUUCCCAGAUGACUUUGCCCAAUGUUUGGUGUUGAGUUUCCAUCAAGAGAAUAAAACUCAGUUAUUGGUCUGUCUUCUCAUCCACAGCAGAGAUCAAAAUGAGCACAGCUUCCCCACAGAGCAGGUGCUAUGAGCAGUGUAGCAGAUCAUCUGCCUCAAGAUCUUCUUCCUACUACCAG
Molecule: long non-coding RNA, 327 nt
Organism: Acinonyx jubatus (cheetah)
Lineage: Eukaryota; Metazoa; Chordata; Mammalia; Carnivora; Felidae
Exons: 3
Source: RefSeq, a predicted model, not a curated record